AACGAACGCUGGCGGCAUGCCUAACACAUGCAAGUCGAACGAAGGCUUCGGCCUUAGUGGCGCACGGGUGCGUAACGCGUGGGAAUCUGCCCUUAGGUUCGGAAUAACAGUUAGAAAUGACUGCUAAUACCGGAUGAUGACGUAAGUCCAAAGAUUUAUCGCCUGAGGAUGAGCCCGAGUAGGAUUAGCUAGUUGGUGUGGUAAAGGCGCACCAAGGCGACGAUCCUUAGCUGGUCUGAGAGGAUGAUCAGCCACACUGGGACUGAGACACGGCCCAGACUCCUACGGUAGGCAGCAGUGGGGAAUAUUGGACAAUGGGCGCAAGGCUGAUCCAGCUAUGCCGCGUGAGUGAUGAAGGCCUUAGGGUUGUAAAGCUCUUUUACCCGUGAUGAUAAUGACAGUAGCGGAAGAAUAAGCCCCGGCUAACUCCGUG
Molecule: ribosomal RNA, 433 nt
Filed under: uncultured bacterium
Lineage: Bacteria
Description: partial 16S ribosomal RNA
Rfam family: Bacterial small subunit ribosomal RNA
Source: RNAcentral